CCUACGGGUGGCUGCAGUGAGGAAUAUUGGUCAAUGGACGAGAGUCUGAACCAGCCAAGUAGCGUGAAGGAUGACUGCCCUAUGGGUUGUAAACUUCUUUUAUAUGGGAAUAAAACAGGGUAUGCAUACCCUCUUGUAUGUACCAUAUGAAUAAGGAUCGGCUAACUCCGUGCCAGCAGCCGCGGUAAUACGGAGGAUGCGAGCGUUAUCCGGAUUUAUUGGGUUUAAAGGGUGCGUAGGCGGAUUUUUAAGUCAGCGGUAAAAUGUCCGGGCUCAACCCGGGCCGGCCGUUGAAACUGGGGAUCUUGAGUGGGCGAGAAGUAUGCGGAAUGCGUGGUGUAGCGGUGAAAUGCAUAGAUAUCACGCAGAACUCCGAUUGCGAAGGCAGCAUACCGGCGCCCGACUGACGCUGAGGCACGAAAGCGUGGGGAUCGAACAGGAUUAGAUACCCCAGUAGUC
Molecule: ribosomal RNA, 459 nt
Filed under: uncultured bacterium
Lineage: Bacteria
Description: partial 16S ribosomal RNA
Rfam family: Bacterial small subunit ribosomal RNA
Source: RNAcentral